Molecule: ribosomal RNA, 432 nt
Filed under: uncultured organism
Description: bacterial SSU rRNA
Rfam family: Bacterial small subunit ribosomal RNA
Source: RNAcentral
GAUGAACGCUGGCGGCGUGCCUAAGACAUGCAAGUCGAACGGGUUUAGACCCGUGGCGAACGGGUGAGUAACGCGUGGGAACUUUCGUUAAGUUUAGAAUAACCUCCCGAAAGGGAGGACAAUACUAAAUGUGGAAGCAAUUCUAAAGGAGCAAUCCGCUUAACGUGAGGCCUGCGUGCCAUCAGCUAGUUGGUAGGGUAAUGGCCUACCAAGGCAAUGACGGCUAGGGGGCCCGAGAGGGUGAUCCCCCACACUGGGACUGCGACACGGCCCAGACUCCUACGGGAGGCAGCAGUUUGGAAUUUUGGACAAUGGACGAAAGUCUGAUCCAGCGACGCCGCGUGCACGAAGACGGUCUUCGGAUUGUAAAGUGCUUUUGCAGGGGACGAAUUUUUGACUGUACCCUGAGAAUAAGAGGUUGCUAACUCUGUG